AACGAACGCUGGCGGCAGGCCUAACACAUGCAAGUCGAACGCACCGCAAGGUGAGUGGCGCACGGGUGAGUAACACGUGGGAAUGUACCCUUUGGUUCGGAAUAACGUUUGGAAACGAACGCUAAUACCGGAUGAGCCCUGUGGGGGAAAGAUUUAUCGCCAAAGGAGCAGCCCGCGUCUGAUUAGCUAGUUGGUGGGGUAAAGGCCUACCAAGGCGACGAUCAGUAGCUGGUCUGAGAGGAUGAUCAGCCACACUGGGACUGAGACACGGCCCAGACUCCUACGGGAGGCAGCAGUGGGGAAUAUUGGACAAUGGGCGGAAGCCUGAUCCAGCCAUGCCGCGUGAGUGAUGAAGGCCUCGGGUUGUUAAAGACGUCUUUCGUCACGCGACGAUGAUGACGGUAGCGUGAGAGAAGCCCCGGC
Molecule: ribosomal RNA, 423 nt
Filed under: uncultured bacterium
Lineage: Bacteria
Description: bacterial SSU rRNA
Rfam family: Bacterial small subunit ribosomal RNA
Source: RNAcentral